RNAcentral lists this ribosomal RNA (459 nucleotides) under uncultured bacterium. Its description in RNAcentral is "partial 16S ribosomal RNA". It matches the Rfam family "Bacterial small subunit ribosomal RNA", at positions 338 to 795 of the family's 1533-position model. The record is from RNAcentral.
CCUACGGGUGGCAGCAGUGAGGAAUAUUGGUCAAUGGGCGCGAGCCUGAACCAGCCAAGUCGCGUGAGGGAAGACGGUCCUAUGGAUUGUAAACAUCUUUUGUCGGGGAGCAAAAGACGCCACUCGUAGCGUUCCGAGAGUACCCGAAGAAAAAGCAUCGGCUAACUCCGUGCCAGCCGCCGCGGUAAUACGGAGGAUGCGAGCGUUAUCGGGAUUGAUUGGGGUUAAAGGGUGCGCAGGCGGAAGAUCAAGUCAGCGGGAAAAUUGAGAGGCUCAACCUCUUCGAGCCGUUGAAACUGGUUGUCUUGAGUGAGCGAGAAGUAUGCGGAAUGCGUGGUGUAGCGGUGAAAUGCAUAGAUAUCACGCAGAACUCCGAUUGCGAAGGCAGCAUACCGGCGCUCAACUGACGCUCAUGCACGAAAGUGUGGGUAUCGAACAGGAUUAGAUACCCGGGUAGUC